UAUAGCAGUUAGCAGUCUGAUUCCAGCACUGGAAAGCAGGGAAGUAAAGGGCUAUUUCCACCCCCGAUCGAUGCUGCCAGUUUUAAAUGGCAUCAAGCCCCUGACCUCCACAUUGUCCCAAAAUGAUCUCAAUAGCUUGUCCGGCUCCUGGUGGUGGUAGUGGAAGGGACUGGAUGGGCGGAACAAAAUUCUUCAACCCUUCUAAACAAACAGAUGUCGCUUUUCUGCCGUUCCUGCAGUACACCUGUCUGCCCUGGGAAGUACAUUUCUCAGCUGCAGCCCCGCGAGGCCAAGAGCUUGAAGCUGGGUCCUGUGGUUGGGGCUGCAGGUGCUGGGCCUAAAGAGCACGAAGGGGUGCUCCGAUGCCCGAGCCCUGGUGCCCAAGACACACCCCCGGGGUGUCGGUGCCGCAGCCCUCAGCCCCUCCCCGGGUAGCCAGCAGCGCCCGGUCGGCCGCUGGCCGCAGGAGAAAGUAAACAACACCCCAAGUGUCCGGGAACAAAGUGAUCCUCCGACUGUGAAAAACCAGACCUCUGGCUGCCUGGCUCCCUAGGAAUCAAGAAGACGCACAGACUGAAAAUCAAGGGAGGAAGGAACAAGAUCAAGGAUGAGGAUUAGCAUCUGCAAAUUGAACUCUAUCUAAUUUGCAUGUUUAUUUCUUAGAAUUGUAAUUAAAUUUGUGUAAUAAAUGUUUUCCAUUUCAUUUGUACACUUAAAACUUGGGUGACUGACAUGCAGUUAAGUGAAUUUCCUUUUUUUAAAAGCAAAUGUAGAUUAUUCAAUAAAGCAGCAAACCAAUAUUAAACAUAAUUAGAACUAAU
RNAcentral lists this long non-coding RNA (821 nucleotides) under Homo sapiens (human). Its description in RNAcentral is "HSALNT0021163". The record is from RNAcentral. Lineage: Eukaryota; Metazoa; Chordata; Mammalia; Primates; Hominidae.